This 243-nucleotide unclassified non-coding RNA is filed under the name Hevea brasiliensis (rubber tree). The record is from RNAcentral. Lineage: Eukaryota; Viridiplantae; Streptophyta; Magnoliopsida; Malpighiales; Euphorbiaceae.
CAGAGUUACAGAGGCACUGGAAUAUCCGAGGCAUCCAUCGAUUGCAUCGUCUACGUUGGUUGAGCUUACAACUCGUCUUGAUUUUUUCAAGGAAAGAAGAUCCCAACUGAUGGAGCAACUCCAUAGUCUUGAUCUGAGUCAUGGCUCCCCGUCACAAGGAUUUGGGGACAUGACCUCUUCUCCAUGGAACAGUCCUAGAUAAAUGAUGUUUAUAGCAGUGCUGCAUGUAUAUCCUUGUCCGAG